Molecule: long non-coding RNA, 8064 nt
Organism: Dicentrarchus labrax (European seabass)
Lineage: Eukaryota; Metazoa; Chordata; Actinopteri; Moronidae
Exons: 2
Source: RefSeq, a predicted model, not a curated record
GUCAGUCUCGGUGGUGUAACGGUUGUUUGCAAGUUAGCUAACGUUAACUGACUGGAGCGUUUGUUGUUAACGUUACUUCUUCAGUUAGAGGCAGGAGCGAGGGCUCUAUGAAGUUGCCAGUUGUGUUUCCUGCAGAUGGUUGCACAGAUGAACAUGCACAGGUAUGUUGAUAGUAUUUAAGACCACAUUAUAAUAUAGAAUCAAAACAUAUAAGAUAAAAAAAAAAGGGUAGUUAAUUAUACUACUACCAAUAGCAUUUUAACCAAACUUCAAUACGUUUUAGCUUCACCCUCAGUAACCAAUCUUUGCCACUAGGUGGAGGCAGAUGCUCACUUAAACACUGCAGUCUGGGGGAUGCCUUUAUUGAUACAAAUCCGCCAUAACUCAAACCCUUGUGAAAAGCAAACUGGAGCAGAGUCUCGGGUUUGUAAUGAGGAGAAAUCACAAGUUGUAAUUAUAAUAGCCUGUUUUUAACUUACAUUUACAGAAGGUUCUCUAUUUAUCUGAAUUUAGCAAUUACAUUUUGUAUUGCAAUUGAGUUAAAUUACAUGUCUUUAUAAAUAGUAUAUUUUUCAAAUUAAUAUUGGUGUAGUCACCCCUCAGGUGAGGCCUUAUCAAUAAAUAUUUCUGGAGAGUAUAGUCUCCAGUCUAUUUGGUUUUAUGAGCUUUCAGCAACACUUACUUCUAAACUGAAGAGUGUCAACUGCAACUAUAAUUUCUCUUUUGGGGGUAGUUAUAAUGGGCAUUUUACUAUCAGACCUCAUUGUUUUUCUUAAAAAGGAAAAAAAAGGCAGCUAUAGAUCUAACAUAAUGAUGCUGACUGGUUAAUACCUCCUCUGUGUGCAGCGGAUCAUUCAGUGUAAUUUCUAAUUAACACGUUGCUAUUUACUCUGUUGGAUCAUUAGGCCUCAUCACAAAAGGAUAAUCCAGUCAAAUUAAGAGUUUAUGUUUCCCUUCCACCUUUCACCAUGGUGCUGUUUGUUAAUGAGUCAUGUUGCAAUUAUCUAACAAAUUAAGACAAAUGUUGCCUGUUUAGUCAAGAUAAAUCUAUUGAGCCAGGCUAUAGCAUCAACACAUAUAACGCAGAUAGAAAAGGAUUCAUCAUAAAUAUUUAUAGUAAAUUUAUUUCACAUUUGUACCCACAAAUUUAACAGAAAAUCAAUUUAGAUUUAUCAUGAUUUCUUAUAUAAUUUUUAGUUUGUGUUUAUCCUGAUUUUUAUAUAAUUUAUAGUUUGUGUUUAUCCUGACUUUGUUUUAUUUUAUUUAUUUUUUUUAUUCCUGAAAUUGUAUAUGAAAAUGCUACAUAUGACAAAUGAAAAUAAAUAAAUAUCAAAAAAUCCUACCAGAAUGAAAUAUUGUAAAGCCAGAAAGAGCCAGUGCAAAGUAGCCUGACUGAAAGAGCAAUAUUGUAAUGUUUGUGUUGCAUUGUUCAUUACAGUACACAUCUCUCCUCAAUACACAGUUAAGUGUCAGCGAACAGCUAUUGUUGUUAAUACACUUCCACUGUAGCCUAGCAGUUGGUUUAAACAAUAAAAGCUAAAGUAGCAUUGUCUGAUGCAGGCUGUAUCUGAUUCCUCCUUUUAAAAGUAAUACAAGAACUCCAGACUCAACGUAGAUGCUGUAGCAGACCUCUCCUUUCAUGAUGAAAGGAGGGAUGAACGGAGCAGAGAUGGAAGCUGUAACCUAUUUGUGAAGCAGAAUCAUUAGGACGGUUCUCCAACCAAUUUCCAUAAGUGGGGUAGCGGGAAGUAUUUAGGCUACUCGAAGUAUAUCACUAAUGAGAAAAGACAAAAAGGAUUCAUGUGCAUGUUUAAUGCAAUCUCUUUCUGGGUGUAGAUGAAUAAUUAUUUAUGAUUGCAAAGCCUAAAAGGGAGGCAAAAAGAUAGCAACUGCAAAGAGACUGGUAAAAAAUUUAAAGAGGAAGUUAAAUGAAUAUUUAACGGAAGAUGAAAUAUUUAAUGGAAACAAAUGAGCAAAACAUUUAAAAUGGCACGAUAAAUAGUAGUGAGUGCCAUUAAAGUGACCCUCAUAAUUUGUGCUAUUUGCUGCAGUAGCCAUAAGGUCUCAUUCAUACUCGUAAUAGUGUGAACUGAAGACUCUGACAAUUGUUUUCAACAUGCCAGUUAUCAUAUGAGGACAUUGUGUCUGUAACCCAGGGCUGACCUCAUAGCUGAGAAAUAUUAGCCUUUGAUUCAGUGUAGUUUGUAUUGAUGCCACGAGGCAGAAACAAUUCAUGUUUUAUUGACCUUCUUCAAGUUGAGGUUAGGGUCCUGGAAAAAAAACCCACAUUAUGACAUAAAUUCUGAAUAUGGUUGCAGUUAAUUUCUCCAGAGACAUUCUGCAUUAGUGUUUCUCAUAACAUCAGUGUUUCAGUCAGAUACUCUGCAGUACAGUUUUGUACAUUUUCACCUCCCAACACCAAAAGAAAAAAUAAGUCUCUAGUAUGUACCAGCACAGUUCAUUUGUUUUCCAAAUGCGAAAAUAAUUAAAUCAGCAAACAAAUAAUUAUUCAAGUCAAUGAGAACAAUUAUCUCAAAGACGCCUCUGAGACUUGGAUAUGCAUACUGAAUUGAUUAAUUAUCCUGCUAAAGAUAAUUGAGUUAGAUCUUUGACUGCUUCCUCUCAACAUACUCUCGCCUCCAUUUUGAUCUCAACAAGAAUCUCCACCAUCAUUUACAAUAUGCAGUCAUCAUGGACACAAUGCUCACCAUGGUGUAAUGACACGUGGAACCUUUUUAAAGAGAUGUAUUUUAUUUUUGUGGUCAUCUUUCUCUGCACUGCUCUACAUUAUUUCCUGGAUCAUAAGAAAAAAAAUCUAAAAACUUCCAUGGCUAGAAAUCACAGGCUUCUAAUCUCUUAAACUUCACGAACCUUAGGUUUGACAAUAUAUUCUAAUCUUUAUUAAAUUGCCUAUUAAAUGUAUUAAAAAUAUAGCAGAGUACUGACCUGCGUUCAUCUGUCUAAGUUCAACUUUGUCAGCGGCGCUGUGUCAUGCCCUUACUAACCCAUGGGCAGACUAUUACUUACCUCUGAGCCAGACAGAGAUCAUUACCUCUGUGAAUGAUGGCAAGGUAGCCCGAGCCCAACAGCUUUAUUUCCCAGUUCAACUCGGCGGACGCAGGCCAUCACAUCCUGUUAACAAUUCCAUGGCUCCACCAUAAAGAUAAGCUCUCUCAAUCGUCUCCGUCUGUCUCAAUCGCCACUGAAGGGCCAUCAGUCAUCUCUAGCUGGGACGGCAGCCCUCCAUAUUCACUUGUGAUUGACACCAUUUAGAUGAUUCACUCGGGAUCACUGGGCUGUUUAUUUCCUCUGCAGACCAGUGUGCUGUUGGGAGUUCAUGAGAUAUAUAUUUUUUUGAUAUCAACAUAUUCAGCUUCACGCAAUCAGUCUUUUUUUAUUCUGAGCAAAUAUUGGUCCUUUUCAUGUGUAAUCUUUCAAAUGCCGAGAUGAAUUAAGUCAGAGGCUUUGACAUUUUAAUCAGAGUGAACAUAAGAAGCCAAUUGUCACUGUCAGACCACAUGAAGGUCAUUUGAAUUGUUAAGGAUCUGCUACUUGCCAUAACAUUUAAUUGUUACAUCCUAAUGAUUCGUUUACAUGUGAGAUCAGGUUGAUAUUUUAUGUAUAAGCACACAUUCUAUUCAAGGCCUUUUAUUCUAUUAACCUGUCCUGUCUUUGUUAGAUCCUUUCUAAGAUAAUUCCCAUAUGGCUUAGCCUUUGAUAAAUAUGCUUUUAGGUCUUUCUAAUUAAUGCAUUCCGCUGUGAUUUUCUUCACUUGUCACCCACUCUUUAACCUCAUAGCGGAGGAACAGACUUUUCCUACUCAAAUUAAAGGUCCUCUGAGACGCUGUACAUGUGUGAGCUAAUGAUGUAGAGCGCUGUACAACCUGAUGUCUUAUCUUGAGGGCCUUGUGGAGAUGUUUUGAGUAGAAAUAAAUUAUAUGACCUCACUAUUAUUGAGUGUGGAUAUAUUCCAAGCAAACAUGUUUUUGUUUAUUGUGUCUGUUCUUAACCAAUACGUUUUUUGAUAGAGGUAUGCUUGUGUGUUACAAACAAAAUACUAAGCAGAUAUUUGCUUUGUGAUUGGGUUUUUCUUUUUAUAAUGGUUGACAUAUGAAGUUGAUUUGUACCAAGAGGCUUGCAUCUCUAUUAUAUUUGAACUGUAACUCUAAAUAUGAUUUUGAAUACUAGCAGAAAAUAUGCAAAUCAGAUAAAGCUACCUUGUUGAUUAAUGUGGGCACAGACCAGCAAAAGGAUGGCCUGGUGUUGAGACAGCAUUUCUGAAGGGACACAGGAGGAUAGGCCUCCACUACAGCUAAGUCUACUAUUUUGAAAUUAAUUAAAGCAAUUCAGCAUUUUUAAAUAUUCUAGUCAAUUUUUCCUUUUACUGCCAGCAUAAUUGCAGUUUCCAGCCAUGUGACCAAGGGACCAUUCAUAAGUAUAAUGAAUGGGAUACAGUAGUGAUAACCAUAGACUCUUUGCCAUUUUUGUUACUAAAUUUGUUUAACGAGAAAAAGGCCAGCUGUACUCUUAAGUUAUUACAAAACAAUAUGUUGCAUUAUGACUCUAACAUGGUAUAUCUUUUUUUAAAAAAACACACACACCAUGUUAUUAUUUGCAAUAGAGCUAUGUCAGGAACUCCAACAUUGUUUGAUUUAUCCAGCUGUCACCUGUUACUGCACAAUGUUACAAUGUGGCUUAACAGGAAAAAUGGCUUUAAAAAGUCACUAUAGGAUUUGUUGUCUGUUUCUAUAGCAACCAGGCCCAGGGUGCCUGGUGCUAAAGCUGAGUCUUUACAAAUAGUAAACAUAGUUUUUGUACACAUCAGGGGCAAAGGUUGUUAGGGAGAAACAGCUCAGGUUCCCGGGUGGUCAGUGACAAAUAAGACAAAUAAACAAGCCUUUUUAUUGAGUUUCAGAUCAUCCACAAUAAGCUGGAAGAUGGAGAGUUUCUUUUUUUUUUUUGUCCCAACCAGGCCACAAAGAAUUAGAUAUGUAAGUUUGAAGAAGUGUGCAGUUUACAGCAGUCCGAUACUGUCCGUGAUAAGAUAAAUUAGCUUUAAGAAUCUACUCUGUACUUGUAGAUCAUCAGACAACAAAAGCAGGAUAUGAUUAUGUGACUUCUUACAAACCUCAGUAUUAAGGCAGUUGCCUCUGUUUUACUUGUAGGGGCACCAACAUGUGAAAUUACAUACUGGAGUUUCAAAUAUAUUUAUGUCACAGUAGAAAUGAUGGUCUGCUUGAACUUUUCCUCAUCGCUGUCCAAAGAAGAGAGGUUGACAAUAACAGUGAAAUAAAAACAAAAAUCUGGAAGAUAUGUUAUGAUAAGCACAACAUUUAUUGUCUCAUCCUAUUAAAACUGAAGAUAUUCUACAGCAUAAAUACUGAAUACAUUUAUCUGUAGUAUUGUUAGGCGAGGUUAUGUUAUUUGGAGGAAGUUGAGAGUCAGUCGUGGUAAUAGUCAAAUCUGGGUCAUUUUUUAUUGUUACUGUUAAUACUAAGUAAUUAAAUGCUGCCUAGUUGAGUUCACACAGUCCACAUUUGAUGUUUACAGUAUCGUAUACAUCAAGGUACAGCACUAUUGAUACAAUAACAGUGAUUUUACCAUGGAAUCAGGUUCACUAAGGACACUCAUCUUAAAGACCACCACCCUACACCACUAACUCAGUAAAGAGCUAUCAUAUAUUUAGGCAAAAUACAAUUUUGACACUUGACUGAGCUAUCAAACAACCUUUAGUACACCCAUUGUCAAAAUGCCAAGAAUCUUCCAGAAUCAAAGAUUGAUCAACCCCUCAGCCGACAGAAAACUCUUUGAAGCAUCCUUUUAAUUAAAUGUGUCAAAGCCUACUGGUAACUGUCAGUGCAUGCAUCUUACAUCCAGUGAGUGAUGAGAAAAAGCAAAACUUAUAAUUACUUUUUCUGUCACUUUUUUAUGAUAAAUGUUUAAGUUACCAUCCACACAAAACAAUAAAUAUCAUGAACAAAAAGCUGCUGUUUUCCUACUCUGGCUUCAAACCCUCUAAAGAAUGUAUUCACCAUUACAGCCAAACAGUGUAACUACAAAAAUACUUUUCCUUGUCUUUUAAAAAGAUGAAAUAUUUUCUCUGCUAUGUAAUUCUCCUCUCUGUAUUUCGAGAGAUACUGACCUAAAAAGGUUGAUCAAAGACUGUUGGAACUCUACAGCCUGCAGCAAACAAUAAAUUGGUCCAUUCGAUGUUUUGCACUGACAAAUUAUUCUCCAGAGUACUAACAUUCUUGGUAGCAACUCAAUUAGCAAGAGACAGAUGUAGCAAGAUUUCACAUUUAUGUUUCAUAGACCUUUCAAUAUUUUAUUAUUUCAGUGCAUGUUGGCAUGAGCCUUUUUAUGUCACAGAAAUGAUAACUAUUUGCUAAUUCUCACAUAAAGUGAUAGUUGUUUUGGUGCGGACUGCAGUUGUGGGGAAACUGCACUCCCUUUAGGCUUUUACACAAUGUUGGAAUGGCCUUGAGCGUCCAUAUGCUUUAAAGUGGUUGUUAAAAGCCAACAUUUCGCAUUAUUGCUGAGGGGGGCCUGAUCCCGCUCACUGUCAAUGUAAAGAGAAAUGUCGACAAAGGAAAGUGAAAACAUCAUACCUAGAGAAAAAUCACUUAUUAAUGGAACCCUUUGUGAAGUUUAUAUAUUUAAACUUUAUGAGUUCAGUUCAUCGUCACGUGAUAGUUGUCUUGUUGAUAACUGACUAAAAGACCGCAAAAAUCCAUUCCCAUUAUUGCUGUUAGUUUCAGCAAAUAGUAUGACUUUUUCUGAUGAGAUGAUUUUUUAAAAUUUCAUCAUAUUAGUCUAGUAGUCAGAAUAGACUAUGAUGAAAGUGCUCAACCAUUAAUUGCCUGUAGGGAACUUGCUGUUGUCUUUAAAAAAACAAAACAAUUUUGCCAUCUACCUGUUCUUUUUUGCACAAGGGAAUAUAGACUGUCAUUAAUAUGCAUGGGUUCCUCUUGCCUGUUUGGGUGUUUGGUAUUAACCCUCAGAAAACACUGGUGACCUUUUGCACGAAACCAUAUGGUUAACAGUGAGCGAUCUCCCUGCUGUUCAAGCAUCAUUUACCUCAGAAAGACACGAAAACGGAGAGAUUCACAGCACAACUCAAUGAAGAUUGGUAAAAGCACUGAAGGAUGCCGUUCAGCCCAUAGACUGAAGAAAUUUAGAUUUAGAUGAACCGUAACUUGUAUGUAUAUUUUUAGUCAUACACAUUUAUUUAUAUAUCAAACAUUAUAUGUAGCUCUUAUGCAUAGUGGAUAUUAAUUCUUCAGUGUAUUGUGUAUGUGUACUACUAUAUUACAGAGCAUCAACAACAUAAAUAUAUGAUUAUACUCGUGUUUGGAAAAUCAAACAUUAGGGAUUACCUUAUGUCACAGGAUCUGAAUCCAACAAGGUAUGACUUACUGAUAAUGCAUCUCUACAAACACAAAUAACGCCAGCGUUUUUCUAAACAAGCUCAGCCUUUGCAUGUGGCGGCAGCGACGAAACACAUGGUGCUCUUUCUGUUAUGCAAAUAUGAAAUGGAACCAGAGCACAAUAACAGCUUUAUAGUCUCACUGUACAUUUGCUCAGAACAUCUGAGAAUACCAGACUGCAUAAUUAACUGCCAAUGAAAUGUUCCCUCGAGUCAGUCUUCUGCUUUAUUAACAAAGUAAUGCAGUUAUUUUUAAUUGGCCGUUUCAUUGUAAACCAAAUUAGAUAAAAUGACACAGGCACAUUUCUGAAGAAUAGGAUAGUGUAAUGUCUUCUUCACUUUUGUAUUUAUAAUGACAUAUGGUCAUGACAAAUGCUAUUAUAUUUUACUUAUCAAAUGUAAAGAACAUGAUCUAAGAUAUACUCUGGGGUGGACUACAAGGUAUAAGCCUAUUAUUUCAGUUUAAGUGUAUGACCUGUUUAUUAUGGAGUUUGGUAUUAUGACGUGCUGUAUAUUAUGUAAAAAUAGGUGUUUAUUAUGAUGUGUAUUAUAAAAAUUUUGAUUUGUAUUAUGACAUAUCUGUGUCUGUACAGUAUAUAUGAUUAUGUCCAUAAAGUGUUGAUGAAAAUUCAAUAGUA